RNAcentral lists this ribosomal RNA (461 nucleotides) under uncultured bacterium. RNAcentral describes it as "partial 16S ribosomal RNA". It matches the Rfam family "Bacterial small subunit ribosomal RNA", at positions 338 to 795 of the family's 1533-position model. The record is from RNAcentral.
CCUACGGGCGGCAGCAGUGAGGAAUAUUGGUCAAUGGGCGAGAGCCUGAACCAGCCAAGUCGCGUGAAGGAUGACGGCCCUACGGGUUGUAAACUUCUUUUGUCAGGGAGCAAUUGGGUCCACGCGUGGGCUUAGCGAGAGUACCUGAAGAAAAAGCAUCGGCUAACUCCGUGCCAGCAGACGCGGUAAUACGGAGGAUGCGAGCGUUAUCCGGAUUUAUGGGGUUUAAAGGGUGCGUAGGCGGAAUAUCAAGUCAACGGUAAAAAUUCGGGGCUCAACCCCGUCGUGCCGUUGGAACUGAUGUGCUGGAGUGGGCGAGAAGGAUGCGGGAUGCGUGGUGUAGCGGUGAAAUGCAUAGAUAUCACGCAGAACUCCGGUUGCGAAGGCAGCAUACCGGCGCCCAACUGACGCUGAAGCACGAAAGCGUGGGUAUCGAACAGGAUUAGAUACCCCCUGUAGUC